This 669-nucleotide ribosomal RNA is filed under the name uncultured bacterium. RNAcentral's name for it is "bacterial SSU rRNA". It matches the Rfam family "Bacterial small subunit ribosomal RNA", at positions 120 to 807 of the family's 1533-position model. The record is from RNAcentral.
GGUAACCUGCCUCAUACAGGGGGAUAACAGUUAGAAAUGACUGCUAAUACCGCAUAAGCGCACAGGGCUGCAUGGCCCGGUGUGAAAAACUCCGGUGGUAUGAGAUGGACCCGCGUCUGAUUAGCUGGUUGGAGGGGUAACGGCCCACCAAGGCGACGAUCAGUAGCCGGCCUGAGAGGGUGAACGGCCACAUUGGCGCUGAGACACGGCCCAGACUCCUACGGGAGGCAGCAGUGGGGAAUAUUGCACAAUGGGGGAAACCCUGAUGCAGCGACGCCGCGUGAAGGAAGAAGUAUCUCGGUAUGUAAACUUCUAUCAGCAGGGAAGAAAAUGACGGUACCUGACUAAGAAGCCCCGGCUAACUACGUGCCAGCAGCCGCGGUAAUACGUAGGGGGCAAGCGUUAUCCGGAUUUACUGGGUGUAAAGGGAGCGUAGACGGAAGAGCAAGUCUGAUGUGAAAGGCUGGGGCUUAACCCCAGGACUGCAUUGGAAACUGUUUUUCUAGAGUGCCGGAGAGGUAAGCGGAAUUCCUAGUGUAGCGGUGAAAUGCGUAGAUAUUAGGAGGAACACCAGUGGCGAAGGCGGCUUACUGGACGGUAACUGACGUUGAGGCUCGAAAGCGUGGGGAGCAAACAGGAUUAGAUACCCUGGUAGUCCACGCCGUAAAC